RNAcentral lists this ribosomal RNA (473 nucleotides) under uncultured bacterium. RNAcentral describes it as "bacterial SSU rRNA". It matches the Rfam family "Bacterial small subunit ribosomal RNA", at positions 15 to 506 of the family's 1533-position model. The record is from RNAcentral.
AAUCCUGGCUCAGGAUGAACGCUGGCGGCGUGCCUAAUACAUGCAAGUCGAACGAGGUGCCUUUGUAGCAAUACGAGGGUAUCCUAGUGGCGAACGGGUGAGUAACGCGUUGGUGACCUGCCCCAAAGUGUGGGAUACCAGUUCGAAAGGACUGCUAAUACCGCAUGUGGUUAUCGGGCUUAGAAACCGAUAUCGAAAGCAGCAAUGCGCUUUGGGAGGGACCUGCGUCCCAUCAGCUAGUUGGUAGGGUAACGGCCUACCAAGGCGACGACGGGUAGGGGACCUGAGAGGGUGGCCCCCCACAAUGGAACUGAAAUACGGUCCAUACACCUACGGGUGGCAGCAGUAGGGAAUAUUGCACAAUGGGCGAAAGCCUGAUGCAGCAACGCCGCGUGCACGAUGAAGGCUUCGGGUCGUAAAGUGUUUUUCUGGGAGAUGAGAAAGGACAGUAUCCCGAAUAACGGCUAAUACGU